AUCUAGGCUCUUGCAUCGAUGAAGAACGUAGCGAAAUGCGAUACUUGGUGUGAAUUGCAGAAUCCCGUGAACCAUCGAGUCUUUGAACGCAAGUUGCGCCCGAUGCCAUUAGGUUGAGGGCACGUCUGCCUGGGCGUCACAUAUCGAAGCCUCCUGCCAAUUUA
This 164-nucleotide ribosomal RNA is filed under the name Vicia americana. RNAcentral describes it as "5.8S ribosomal RNA". The stretch from base 1 to 139 matches the Rfam family "5.8S ribosomal RNA", at positions 18 to 154 of the family's 154-position model. From Rfam's summary of the family: 5.8S ribosomal RNA (5.8S rRNA) is a component of the large subunit of the eukaryotic ribosome. It is transcribed by RNA polymerase I as part of the 45S precursor that also contains 18S and 28S rRNA. Lineage: Eukaryota; Viridiplantae; Streptophyta; Magnoliopsida; Fabales; Fabaceae. The record is from RNAcentral. RNAcentral also lists the same sequence under 1 other name.